This 570-nucleotide long non-coding RNA is filed under the name Physcomitrium patens. RNAcentral describes it as "long non-coding RNA (PPAT_LNC010666)". Lineage: Eukaryota; Viridiplantae; Streptophyta; Bryopsida; Funariales; Funariaceae. The record is from RNAcentral.
UUAGACCAUAAUAAUACUAAGCAAACUUAAUCAAAUUCAAAAAAUCCUUAAAGAAAUUUCAAACAAACAAUAAGAAUUCUUAAAGAAAUAUUAGAAGGAUCACAAAUAUCACUCAAAUACAUCUCAAUUCAAUCUUAAUUUAAUUCUAGUUAAAAUCCUAUUGAACUUCAUUCAAACUUUAGGCCAAAACUAAUUAAAUCUUAAAUCCUAAUAAAAUCCUAAACCCUAAAUCAAACCCUAAACAAAUCUUAAACUAAAUCCCAACAAAAUCCUAAAUUAAAUUCUAAUCCUAAUCCAAACCCUAAACCCUAAAUAAAACCAUAAUCAAACCCUAAAUCCUAAACUAAAUCCUAAUACAAAUCUUAAAUCAAACCUUAAUCCAACCCUAAAUCUUAACCAUAAACCAAACCCUAAUUCUAAAUCCUAAAUCAAAUCUUAAACCAAAUUCUAAUCCUAAAUCAAAUCCUAAUCCAAAUCCUAAACCCCAAACCAAACCCUAAUCAAAUCCUAAAUCCUAAAUCAAAUCCUAAUCCAAAUCCUAAUCAAACCUUAAACCAAACCCUAAACAAA